GGUGGCUCAGUAGUAGAGUGCUUGCCUUGCAUGCAUGAGGUCCUGGGUUUGAUCCCUCAGCACCA
RNAcentral lists this transfer RNA (65 nucleotides) under Dipodomys ordii (Ord's kangaroo rat). It matches the Rfam family "tRNA". From Rfam's summary of the family: Transfer RNA (tRNA) molecules are approximately 80 nucleotides in length. Their secondary structure includes four short double-helical elements and three loops (D, anti-codon, and T loops). Further hydrogen bonds mediate the characteristic L-shaped molecular structure. tRNAs have two regions of fundamental functional importance: the anti-codon, which is responsible for specific mRNA codon recognition, and the 3' end, to which the tRNAs corresponding amino acid is attached (by aminoacyl-tRNA synthetases). tRNAs cope with the degeneracy of the genetic code in two manners: having more than one tRNA (with a specific anti-codon) for a particular amino acid; and 'wobble' base-pairing, i.e. permitting non-standard base-pairing at the 3rd anti-codon position. The record is from Rfam by way of RNAcentral. Lineage: Eukaryota; Metazoa; Chordata; Mammalia; Rodentia; Heteromyidae.